Molecule: ribosomal RNA, 357 nt
Filed under: Rhynchostegium riparioides
Lineage: Eukaryota; Viridiplantae; Streptophyta; Bryopsida; Hypnales; Brachytheciaceae
Description: eukaryotic LSU rRNA
Rfam family: Eukaryotic large subunit ribosomal RNA
Source: RNAcentral
CAGACCUCUAAUCGGAAAAGACUACCCGCUGAGUUUAAGCAUAUCACUAAGCGGAGGAGAAGAAACUAACCAGGAUUUCCCUAGUAACGGCGAGCGAACCGGAAAGAGCCCAGCUUGAAAAUCGUGGUGCCUCGUACCUCGAAUUGUAGUCUGGAGAAGGUCCCUCUGCGCCGCGCCGGACCCAAGUUCCCUGGAAAGGGACGUCAUCGAGGGUGACAACCCCGUCCGCGCCCGGAACGCGUCGCUCCACGAGGACCUGUCUGCGAGUCGGGCUGUUUGGGAAUGCAGCCCUAAGCGGGAGGUAAAUUCCUUCCAAGGCUAAAUAUGGGCAAGAGACCGAUAGCGAACAAGUACCGC